GUUUGAAGAUCCGGCUAUCGGGGGAUUGACAAUUUUACACCGAGAAAUUCUAGCAGGAAUUCAAGAAAUUAGAAAAUGGAGCUGAGUACCAUUAAAGAUGCCUUUGAUCGUGUCACAAAGAAGCAAAAGGUUGCAUCAUCAAAGUCUCAAGAAGUGAUAGAGCAGAUCGGUCAUGAAAUAGAGCAAGCACUGUUGAGAAUACAGUCAGCUAAUGAUACUGCUUCUUUGAGUGAACACAAAGUGAUUCUUAGUGAACUUAAAGCCAAGUUGAAGGAAGUUGCUCCACUCAGUCAGAUGGAAGGAACACAAAAAGAACUAAAUGUUGCACUAAGCAAGUACCCAAAGCUCCUUGAGAAGUCACUCAAUCCUGAUAUAUCAAAGGCUUACAGGAAUGUUGGUUCUGAUAUCCAUACUGUUAACCAGAUAAUUGCCAGCCAUUUCUACCGGGAAGGCCACUUUGAUCUUGGUGAUUGUUUCGUGAAUGAGGCCAGAGAAUCUGAAGCUGCAGGCCAAAAAACUCCUUUUCUGCAAAUGUAUCAAAUACUUGAAGCCAUGAGGUGUAGGAACCUGGAGCCAGCUCUGAGUUGGGCCACCACGAAUAGUGAGAAACUUAAGCUGACUGGAUCUGAUAUUGAAAUGAAGUUACACAGGCAGCAGUUUGUAGAAAUUCUGCAAAACAGAGGUAGAGAUGGAGCUUUGAAUUAUGCUAGAACUUUCUUUCCACCUUUUGCCACCAAAUAUUUGGCAGAGAUCCAGAGGCUCAUGGCCUGUCUAUUGUGGGCUGAGAAACUGGAGUCCUCACCUUACUCAGAUUUACUAUCACCUCUCCACUGGGAUAAAUUGGCUGAAGAGCUUGCUCGGCAGUUCUGCAAUCUUAUGGGUCAAUCCUAUGAGAGUCCGUUGAGUGUGACCAUUGCGGCAGGCGUCCAGGGAUUGCCAACCCUUCUGAAACUGAUGAAUGUGAUGACUGGGAAAAAACAGGAAUGGCAAUCCAUGAAACAGUUACCCGUGCCGGUGGACUUGGACAGAGAAUUUCAGUUCCACUCUAUCUUUGUCUGUCCAGUGAGUCGGGAUCAGGCAUCUGAGGAGAACCCCCCUAUGCUGAUGUCUUGUGGGCAUGUUCUAUGCAAGCAAUCUAUUACCAAACUGUCAAAGAAUAACAACACACGGCCUUUCAAGUGUCCUUACUGCCCCACGGAGGUUGAGGUCGGUCAGUGUAGACAAUUGUUCUUCUAAUCAGCUUUUGUAUUAAAAAAUCUUCUUGCUACCCCCCCGCCCCCUCCCCCCUCCUCUUUAUCUCUGUGCUCUUUGAACUCAAUUCCCGUUCGUUCGUUACAUGGUUGAUGGUGCCUCUGACCAUAGCGUUAAUUGUGC
This 1374-nucleotide unclassified non-coding RNA is filed under the name Hevea brasiliensis (rubber tree). Lineage: Eukaryota; Viridiplantae; Streptophyta; Magnoliopsida; Malpighiales; Euphorbiaceae. The record is from RNAcentral.